GUGGCAAGCACCAGUAAUUCCAGCUACUCGAGAGACUGGGUCACGAGAAUCACUUGAACCCAGAAGGCAGGAGGUUGCAGUGAGCUGAGAUUGCACUACUGUACUCUAGCAUGGGGGACACAAGUGAGACUGUCACACACACACAAAAAAAAGAGUGAAUCUUUGUGAUCAUCCUGGAGGAAAUGUACAGAGAGAACUCGGAGAACCAGUUUUAUGGGCUGUCGAUUAACCUGACAGAAAGGACACUCUGUUCUUGAUACCUCAAUAAUACAUUUAUAUUAGCAUGUCACUUUCUCCAACUCUAUUUUCAUAGUUGGUUCAGGCUGCCAUAACAAAAUUCCAUAGACUGGGUGGCUUAAACAACAGAUAUUUAUUUCCCACAGUUCUGGGGGGUGAGGAAAGCCCUGGUAGGUUUCCUGUCUGAUGAGGGACCGUUUCCUGGUUCAUAGAUGGCACCAUAUAGCUGUGUCCUCACAUGGUGGAAGGAGCAAGGCAGUUCUCUGACGUCUCUUUCACAAGGGCACUUAUCCCAUUUGUGAGGGCCCCACCCUCAUGAUCUAAUCACCUGCCAAAGCCCUGCCUCCUAAUACUAUUGCCUUGGGGGUCAGGAUUGCAACAUCUGAACUUUGGGGUAGGUGGGCAAGGGAAUGGAACACAAACAUUCAGACCAUAGCAUCUGUUUUUCUGAUUUGAAAAACUGGCAUAAUGACAUCUAUAUCUACACGGAUGAAUUUACAGGGUCUUAAAAAGAUUCUUCGCACAUUAAAAAAUGUUAGGACAUGUUGCUAAUUUUUUUUUUUUAAAGAUUACCAUUAUUGGAGAUUUGGGGGGGAGGGUGUGAUCAGUUAGGCUUCUUUAUGUUGGAAGAUUUGGAUUACUAAUGAAAUUUAUUUACUUGUGAUAGGCCUAUUUAGACUCCCUACUUUUGAAUAGAAGUACAAAGAACUUUCAUAUUGUUUUGUUAGGCAAACAGAUUUACUUAAAAUUAAGGCAAAAAGUUCACUUAGGGUCUUAACUGAUCUUGGUUUUCCUUUCCAUCGAUCUGUUCAAUCGACAAUUGCCAGAUUUUCAUGUAGUGUCUGAAUGACUUACACACACACACACACACACACACACACACACACACACGAGAUAUCAUGUGGUCAGUAUU
This is a long non-coding RNA of Sapajus apella (tufted capuchin), 1150 nucleotides long. RefSeq lists it as uncharacterized. Lineage: Eukaryota; Metazoa; Chordata; Mammalia; Primates; Cebidae. The record is from RefSeq and is a predicted model, not a curated record. The transcript has 2 exons.